UUUGUGCUUCUCUUUUUGUGUGAAAGUUGCGCCACUGGCCCUUUACUGGCUUGACAAUGGGCAAGAAGAAGGUUGGAGAGAUCCAGUGCAGCGAGGAUUUCUGCAUCCCUGCUGGGGAUAGGGAUGCGAACAGCGCGCUCCCCGCUGAGGAGUGGCCCCUGCUGCUGAAGAACUAUGACAAGAUGAACGUCCGCUCUACCCAUUUCACGCUGCUGGAGUGCGGCUGGUCACCACUACGCCGCCCCUUAGCCGAGUACAUCAAGUACGGCAUGAUCAACAUGGAUAAGCCCUCCAACCCUAGCUCUCACGAGGUUGUCUCCUGGAUCAAGCGCAUUUUGAAGUGCGACAAGACUGGCCACGCCGGUACACUCGAUCCGAAGGUGACUGGUGCCUUAAUCAUCUGCACCGACCGUGCCACGCGCUUGGUGAAGUCCCAGCAAAACGCCGGUAAGACGUACAUUGGUGUACUGCGCCUCCACGAUACGGUGAGCCAGAAGAAGGUGAACGCUGCUCUCCAGCGGCUUACGGGUCCAUGUUUUCAGCGUCCUCCUCUGAUCGCGGCAGUGAAACGCCAGCUCCGCAUUCGCAACAUCUACUCUAACCAACUGAUCGAGUAUGACAAGCACCGGCACCUGGCCGUGUUCGAGACGCACUGCGAGGCUGGUACGUACAUUCGUACCCUUUGCGUGCAUCUCGGCCUCAUCCUCGGCGCUGGUGGCCACAUGGAAGAGCUGCGCCGUAUCCGCACCGGUGUCAUCACCGAGAACGAUCACCUCUCCACCAUGCACGAUGUCAUGGAUGCUCAGUGGCUCUACGAGAAUGAGAGGGACGACACAUAUCUGCGCCGCGUCAUCCUGCCAUGCGAGUACCUGCUGUCGAACCACAAGCGCAUCGUCGUGAAGGACUCCGCCGUCAACGCCGUGUGCUAUGGCGCGAAGCUGAUGAUUCCUGGUCUCGCGCGCUUUGACAACGGCAUUGAGCGCGACGACGUUGUGGUGCUGAUGACCACGAAGGGUGAGGCCAUUGCUCUUGCGUAUGCGGAGAUGACCACGUCUCAAAUGGCUUCCGUUGACCACGGCAUCGUUGCGCGAAGCAAGCGCGUGAUCAUGGACCGUGACACGUACCCGCGCCGCUGGGGUCUCGGCCCGAUCGCCGUGAAGAAGCGUUCGAUGAUGAAGGACGGCCUCUUGGACAAGUACGGUCGCCCACAGUCGAAUACUCCGCCGGACUGGUUCUACGUCGACUACGGAGGCGUGAAAACCAACGCGGAAGGUGUCCAAUACGGUCAGGCUCCGUCCAAGGUGAGCGGUGUAAAGCGCCAGCGCGUGCCGGACUCUGAUGAUGAUUAGUGUGCAUGUUGUUUUUUUUUUCCCCGCGUUCCCUGUCCUCUGCCUUUUUCCACCCCUCGAUGAUGCGUGGUGAGAUGAAGUGUGUGUGCGUGUGCUUGUGGAGGCAGGGGAGAGGAAAAGGAAGGGGUGUUUAUGCGGCUACUUUUGCAAGCACUCGAAGAAAGGCGGUGAGUGGAAGGGGCUUUCUGCUUGCCGAACGUUGAUUUAUACAGGAGUGUGCGCUUGUUUGUGUGCGCACGUCUGCGCAUGUUUGUGGUGUCUUCGGAUUUUGUUCGCUGUGACGCUCAGGUUAAUUGAGGCUAAUUCUAAACCGCUCUCCGUUUGAGUGUGUGCGUAUGCGUGUGCGUGCGCAUUUUCUAUCGAGGCGCUGAUCGUAUUUUUCCUCCUCUUCCUCGUCGUUAAACAGGCUAAACCACCGGAAAAAAAAUGAGAUGCUCUCGGGAACACUGAGCGCUUUCGGUAUAUGUGUGCAUGCCGUCGCCUAAGAUGCACCGAAACACGCGCUCUUCACUAUGCAUUCCCACUUGGGCAGCGUACAUUUAGGCGAUCGUCUCAGGCAUCCAUCUAAUGCAAGCACUGCCUUGUCCUCCUCGCAAAGCGCUGAGAAAAAAAGCUGCACUGGAGCUGUGGGCGUUGCGAAAUGAAGCGCGUGAGCGUAGUUGGGUGCAAGUGCGUGCGUGUGUGUGCCGUGCGACGGUGCAGUCUCUUCGCCACCCCUUCUGUUCCCUAUCACCGUCGUCCAAGUCGAUGAAUGUCUCACACACACAAACGAAUGCCGACCUUGGUAGUGGUCUUGUCGGAACAAACACACAUGAAAAUAGCAAACGGUGUGAAGGAGCUCUCUACAGUCGCAAAUAUAUAUAUAUAUAUAUAUCGACAAGCACAGUGUCUGAAGGGACUCUGACUUGUCAUCGGGAGCGAGAGAGUGCGCUGCCGUUGCCACACGACAUUCCAUGUGAAAUCCCAACGGCGUUCG
This 2325-nucleotide unclassified non-coding RNA is filed under the name Leishmania donovani. RNAcentral's name for it is "gene:LdHU3.21.2540(CDS-product:centromere/microtu bule_binding_protein_cbf5_putative)". Lineage: Eukaryota; Euglenozoa; Kinetoplastea; Trypanosomatida; Trypanosomatidae. The record is from RNAcentral.